This is a long non-coding RNA of Tetranychus urticae (two-spotted spider mite), 1217 nucleotides long. RefSeq lists it as uncharacterized. The record is from RefSeq and is a predicted model, not a curated record. Lineage: Eukaryota; Metazoa; Arthropoda; Arachnida; Trombidiformes; Tetranychidae.
GUUCAAUACAAAUUACAAUGGUAAAUGACCAUUCAAUGGUCUAUUAUCAACUUUUCCUACCUUUACAAAAAGUAACUGGUCAUCAUUAUAAUCAUCAUUCUCAUCUUCCAGCUAGUCUUUAUGAGCGUUUUUAUCUAGACAAAGUGGUCCUUUUCAUCUUUUUUACUUAUCUCUUUUUUUCUCCUCCAAACUUCUAUUGCUUUAUUAUGUUGCUUUUUGUAAACUCAAUCAUAAACAAUUACCUACAAGUUACCUGAACAUUAUCUUAAUAUUUUAUUUCUUUACGCUCUUUUGAUAUAUCAAAGUAUUCAUUGACCAUUGGUAAUGCUUCGGAAAGAUUCUGUUUGGACUUUUGGAUUUCUCUUUCAGUUUGGUGUUCAACAAUGUAACAAAAGUCAAGCAUGUUUGGGGAAAUAUUUUCAUCAUCAAACAUCCAGAAAUCUAGGAGUUGAACAAAAAAAACGAAGAAAUGAUUGAAGAUAAACAAGACUGAUGAAUGAAUCAAAUAUGAUCAAGACAGCUAACACUGUAAAUUGACAAAGGAUCUUACAGCUAUUCAAUGGACUAUAAUGCAACCUUUAAUGCCCAAAGCAAUGAUAGUAACUACUCUAAUGGUCAAACUGAACACACACAAAGACAAACCAUUUCUUUUCAAUGUUACCCUUUCACUUGGUUGAAUACUGGAGUUGCUGUUGAUGAUGAUAAGAUGAUGGAGGAUUAUGGUGAAGAUAUAAUGAGAUGAUUAUGACGAGGACCAGGACGACGACGGUGGUGGUGGUAGUGAUGAUAAUGAUGACGAUGAAAAGCUAUAACUGCAAGAUGAUGUAAAAUGAACGAGCAUGAGAUUCUGGUGAGAAAAGGAAUCAAAUUUAAGUGAAAGGAAAAGUUGAAAAGGAUUCAAAUGUGAGAAAUUUAGUUAAAUAGUUUGUGGGCUUCAUUUAAUUAAACUUGUUAAUUGUAUACUACCGGUAUGAUCGGUUAUGUAUGUUAUAGAUGUAAAACACCUUAGUUCACUCCUUUUCACCAUCAUCAUCAUCAGCUUGUUUUAUAAUCAUAGGUUUAGAUUGUGUUGUUUUUUCAUUACAACAUUGAAUUUGCAAAGGAAGAGCUGAUGAGGAGGAUGAUGAAGAUGGAGAUGGCAGAAACAAUAAAAAACGAGAAAAAGGUUUGGGUGCAAGAAAAGGUUAAAAAAAGUAUGGAAACAGUUUAAAAAAAAA